Molecule: non-coding RNA, 573 nt
Organism: Parasteatoda tepidariorum (common house spider)
Lineage: Eukaryota; Metazoa; Arthropoda; Arachnida; Araneae; Theridiidae
Source: RefSeq, a predicted model, not a curated record
GUCCAGAAGGCUUAGGGUUAAGAAUUAUUGGAAUGGGUGUUGGAGCUGAUGCCGGAGUGGAAAAACUUGGUAUAUUUGUGAAAACAGUUACUCCAAAUGCUGAUAGAGAUGGAAGAAUCAGUCAAUGAUCAGAUUACGGAAGUUGAUGUAAAAUCCCUUGUUGGUGUAACUCAAGCUUAUGCAGCCACUGUAUUAAGAAAUACUUCAGGACCAGUGUGGUACAUUUUGUUUUGUGUUAUUCAGUGGUUGAUAUUUUUUAUUUAUUUCUAUUUCUAUUGUUAUUUUUUGACCUUAAAAUGUUUUCUCCAAAGUAAGGAUAUAAGGAAUAGUAAUUUGGCAGAAUACCAAAUAUUUGACCAAAAAAAAUCGGCCUACUGAAUAUUAAGCGGCCAAAUAGCAACAUUUUGUUUUUAAAAAAAUUAAUUAAUAAAUAUUUUUUUACUUUAAAAUUAAUCAAACUUAGCUAUAUUACUGGUUUGGGGUAAAAAAAAAGCUAUAAUAGUUAUUCAUUAAAAAUAUUUAGGAUAAAUAAAAAACUGACUAACAGCUAUGAAAAAAAUAAAGUUGAAAAAA